UACGAAGGGGGCUAGCGUUGUUCGGAAUCACUGGGCGUAAAGCGUAUGUAGGCGGAUCGUUAAGUCGGGGGUGAAAUCCCGAGGCUCAACCUCGGAACCGCCUUCGAUACUGGCGAUCUUCGAGUCCGGGAGAGGUGAGUGGAACUCCGAGUGUAGAGGUGAAAUUCGUAGAUAUUCGGAAGAACACCAGUGGCGAAGGCGGCUCACUGGCCCGGUACUGACGCUGAUAUACGAAAGCGUGGGGAGCAAACAGG
This 254-nucleotide ribosomal RNA is filed under the name uncultured bacterium. RNAcentral's name for it is "partial 16S ribosomal RNA". It matches the Rfam family "Bacterial small subunit ribosomal RNA", at positions 524 to 776 of the family's 1533-position model. The record is from RNAcentral.